UGGGGAAUAUUGCACAAUGGGCGAAAGCCUGAUGCAGCAACGCCGCGUGAAGGAAGAAGGUCUUCGGAUCGUAAACUUCUGUCCUAGGGGAAGAAGAACUGACGGUACCCUUGGAGGAAGCCCCGGCUAACUACGUGCCAGCAGCCGCGGUAAUACGUAGGGGGCAAGCGUUAUCCGGAAUUAUUGGGCGUAAAGAGUGCGUAGGUGGUUCUUUAAGCGCAGGGUUUAAGGCAAUGGCUCAACCAUUGUUCGCCCUGCGAACUGGAGGACUUGAGUGCAGGAGAGGAAAGCGGAAUUCCUAGUGUAGCGGUGAAAUGCGUAGAUAUUAGGAGGAACACCAGUGGCGAAGGCGGCUUUCUGGACUGUAACUGACACUGAGGCACGAAAGCGUGGGGAGCAAAC
Molecule: ribosomal RNA, 402 nt
Filed under: uncultured bacterium
Lineage: Bacteria
Description: bacterial SSU rRNA
Rfam family: Bacterial small subunit ribosomal RNA
Source: RNAcentral